GACGAACGCUGGCGGCGUGCUUAACACAUGCAAGUCGAACGGAAAGGCCCUGCUUUUGUGGGGUGCUCGAGUGGCGAACGGGUGAGUAACACGUGAGUAACCUGCCCUUGACUUUGGGAUAACUUCAGGAAACUGGGGCUAAUACCGGAUAGGGGCUCCUGCUGCAUGGUGGGGGUUGGAAAGUUUCGGCGGUUGGGGAUGGACUCGCGGCUUAUCAGCUUGUUGGUGGGGUAGUGGCUUACCAAGGCUUUGACGGGUAGCCGGCCUGAGAGGGUGACCGGCCACAUGGGGACUGAGAUACGGCCCAGACUCCUACGGGAGGCAGCAGUGGGGAAUAUUGCACAAUGGGCGGAAGCCUGAUGCAGCAACGCCGCGUGCGGGAUGACGGCCUUCGGGUUGUAAACCGCUUUCGCCUGUGACGAAGCGUGAGUGACGGUAAUGGGUAAAGAAGCACCGGCUAACUACGUG
This 468-nucleotide ribosomal RNA is filed under the name uncultured bacterium. Its description in RNAcentral is "partial 16S ribosomal RNA". It matches the Rfam family "Bacterial small subunit ribosomal RNA", at positions 28 to 507 of the family's 1533-position model. The record is from RNAcentral.